UACAGAGGUCUCAAGCGUUGUUCGGAUUCAUUGGGCGUAAAGGGUGUGUAGGUGGCGCGCUAAGUCGGGUGUGAAAUUUCGGAGCUUAACUCCGAAACUGCAUUCGAUACUGGCGUGCUUGAGGACUGGAGAGGAGACUGGAAUUCAUGGUGUAGCAGUGAAAUGCGUAGAGAUCAUGAGGAAGACCAGUGGCGAAGGCGGGUCUCUGGACAGUUACUGACACUGAGGCACGAAGGCCAGGGGAGCAAACGGG
This 253-nucleotide ribosomal RNA is filed under the name uncultured bacterium. RNAcentral's name for it is "partial 16S ribosomal RNA". It matches the Rfam family "Bacterial small subunit ribosomal RNA", at positions 524 to 776 of the family's 1533-position model. The record is from RNAcentral.